RNAcentral lists this ribosomal RNA (556 nucleotides) under Sclerotinia pirolae. RNAcentral describes it as "SSU rRNA". It matches the Rfam family "Eukaryotic small subunit ribosomal RNA", at positions 559 to 1119 of the family's 1831-position model. RNAcentral also lists the same sequence under 1 other name. Lineage: Eukaryota; Fungi; Ascomycota; Leotiomycetes; Helotiales; Sclerotiniaceae. The record is from RNAcentral.
GUCUGGUGCCAGCAGCCGCGGUAAUUCCAGCUCCAAUAGCGUAUAUUAAAGUUGUUGCAGUUAAAAAGCUCGUAGUUGAACCUUGGGCCUGGUUGGCCGGUCCGCCUCACCGCGUGCACUGGUCCGACCGGGUCUUUCCUUCUGGGGAGCCGCAUGCCCUUCACUGGGUGUGUCGGGGAACCAGGACUUUUACUUUGAAAAAAUUAGAGUGUUCAAAGCAGGCCUAUGCUCGAAUACAUUAGCAUGGAAUAAUAGAAUAGGACGUGUGGUUCUAUUUUGUUGGUUUCUAGGACCGCCGUAAUGAUUAAUAGGGAUAGUCGGGGGCGUCAGUAUUCAAUUGUCAGAGGUGAAAUUCUUGGAUUUAUUGAAGACUAACUACUGCGAAAGCAUUCGCCAAGGAUGUUUUCAUUAAUCAGUGAACGAAAGUUAGGGGAUCGAAGACGAUCAGAUACCGUCGUAGUCUUAACCAUAAACUAUGCCGACUAGGGAUCGGGCGAUGUUAUCUUUUUGACUCGCUCGGCACCUCACGAGAAAUCAAAGUCUUUGGGUUCUGGGG